CGCCACAUGUCGGCGGUACUUUUUCUUUGCCCUUAGGAUAAAACCAUAAGAUUUAAGGGGGCCAAGCGGCCACAACACUGUAGCAGCUGCAAUUAUUCAGGAUCCGCGGGGAAGGGACGUGGCUCUUGUGUUCACCGCUGCAUAUAACUCGGGACCUGGCAAAGAAUGGCCUCUCCGUCAAUCCCGAAUCAAGAACUGAAGAGAGGAACAACUGAAGGGCUCCUCCUGGGAUCCUGCUCCCCCUUCCCCAUCCCUGCCUGGACCAGCGAGGGCGGAGCCGCGGAGCAACCAGAGUCGGAGGUCUUCCGGGCAGCCUAGAGCGGCCCGACAGCGAGCGCGCUGACCCCGCCCCGGGCGCUGACCCCGCCCCGGUCGCUGACCCCGCCCCGGGCCACUUCCGGCGGCCGAGCUCCUCCCGCCGGGUGCGCCCCGCCUGCUCUGGGCGGUUGACAUACGUGGUGUCUGAAGUGGGAUCUGAAGGAGGCGACCCUCAAGAGACGAUGGGCCCCAGAAUUGAGCGAGGUACCUGCUCUGGGCCCCUGGAGCUCAUGGCUUCUGUGAGUCAUGGCCUACUUUUGGUUUGGGACUAUACCAGGUCCUCCUCAUUACUCAUAUGGCAGCGAAUCUUCACGGACUUGAGCCUUGGGUGCACAUCUCACAGCUAAAGAAGACUCCACCUAACAUCUAGCCCUUUACAAACGCUGCAGACCUCAAAUCAAAUUGACCAGGAAGAGAAGCAGGUGACAUCUGAGGCAGAGAGCUUUCCCAAGACGACCAGACCAGGCCUGUAUAUUCUCUUCCCACUGUUGCUUCUUCUCUCUCUCUUUCGUGGAAAGAC
This is a non-coding RNA of Equus caballus (horse), 838 nucleotides long. The record is from RefSeq and is a predicted model, not a curated record. Lineage: Eukaryota; Metazoa; Chordata; Mammalia; Perissodactyla; Equidae.